GUCGGUGUGGCUCAGUUGGUUAGAGCGUUGGUCUCAUAGCACGAAGCUUGAUUUGAUCCCAGGUCAGAGUAAUCCAAAGGUCGAGAGUUCGAGCCUCUCCACCGACA
Molecule: transfer RNA, 107 nt
Organism: Fusarium oxysporum f. sp. lycopersici 4287
Lineage: Eukaryota; Fungi; Ascomycota; Sordariomycetes; Hypocreales; Nectriaceae
Rfam family: tRNA
About the family: Transfer RNA (tRNA) molecules are approximately 80 nucleotides in length. Their secondary structure includes four short double-helical elements and three loops (D, anti-codon, and T loops). Further hydrogen bonds mediate the characteristic L-shaped molecular structure. tRNAs have two regions of fundamental functional importance: the anti-codon, which is responsible for specific mRNA codon recognition, and the 3' end, to which the tRNAs corresponding amino acid is attached (by aminoacyl-tRNA synthetases). tRNAs cope with the degeneracy of the genetic code in two manners: having more than one tRNA (with a specific anti-codon) for a particular amino acid; and 'wobble' base-pairing, i.e. permitting non-standard base-pairing at the 3rd anti-codon position.
Source: Rfam